AACGAACGCUGGCGGCAUGCCUAACACAUGCAAGUCGAACGAGAUCUUCGGGUCUAGUGGCGCACGGGUGCGUAACGCGUGGGAAUCUGCCCUUUGGUUCGGAAUAACAGUUGGAAACGACUGCUAAUACCGGAUGAUGACGAAAGUCCAAAGAUUUAUCGCCAGAGGAUGAGCCCGCGUAGGAUUAGCUAGUUGGUGUGGUAAAGGCGCACCAAGGCGACGAUCCUUAGCUGGUCUGAGAGGAUGAUCAGCCUCACUGGGACUGAGACACGGCCCAGACUCCUACGGGAGGCAGCAGUGGGGAAUAUUGGACAAGGGGCGAAAGCCUGAUCCAGCAAUGCCGCGUGAGUGAUGAAGGCCUUAGGGUUGUAAAGCUCUUUUACCCGGGAUGAUAAUGACAGUACCGGGAGAAUAAGCUCCGGCUAACUCCGUGCCAGCCGCCGCUGUAA
RNAcentral lists this ribosomal RNA (449 nucleotides) under uncultured bacterium. Its description in RNAcentral is "partial 16S ribosomal RNA". It matches the Rfam family "Bacterial small subunit ribosomal RNA", at positions 29 to 523 of the family's 1533-position model. The record is from RNAcentral.